UGGGGAAUCUUCCGCAAUGGACGAAAGUCUGACGGAGCAACGCCGCGUGAGUGAAGACGGCCUUCGGGUUGUAAAGCUCUGUUAUUCGGGAAGAACGAUUCGUUUGUGAACAAUGAACGGAAGUGACGGUACCGAAAGAGAAAGCCACGGCUAACUACGUGCCAGCAGCCGCGGUAAUACGUAGGUGGCAUGCGUUGUCCGGAACUAUUGGGCGUAAAGAGCGCGUAGGCGGUAUGGUAAGUCUGUCUUAGAAGUGCGGGGCUUAACCCCGUAAGGGAACAGAGACUGUCAUCAUGGAGUCUCGGAGAGGAAAGAGGAAUUCCUAGUGUAGCGGUGAAAUGCGUAGAGAUUAGGAAGAACAACGGAGGCGAAGGCGGCUUUAUGGACGAGAAAUGACGCAGAGGCGCGAAAACGUGGGGAGUGGACAGG
Molecule: ribosomal RNA, 429 nt
Filed under: Fusobacteriota bacterium
Lineage: Bacteria; Fusobacteriati; Fusobacteriota
Description: Fusobacteria bacterium partial 16S ribosomal RNA
Rfam family: Bacterial small subunit ribosomal RNA
Source: RNAcentral